RNAcentral lists this ribosomal RNA (465 nucleotides) under Vreelandella stevensii. RNAcentral's name for it is "partial 16S ribosomal RNA". It matches the Rfam family "Bacterial small subunit ribosomal RNA", at positions 338 to 795 of the family's 1533-position model. Lineage: Bacteria; Pseudomonadati; Pseudomonadota; Gammaproteobacteria; Oceanospirillales; Halomonadaceae. The record is from RNAcentral.
CCUACGGGCGGCUGCAGUGGGGAAUAUUGGACAAUGGGGGGAACCCUGAUCCAGCCAUGCCGCGUGUGUGAAGAAGGCCCUCGGGUUGUAAAGCACUUUCAGUGAGGAAGAACGCCUGGUGGUUAAUACCCAUCAGGAAAGACAUCACUCACAGAAGAAGCACCGGCUAACUCCGUGCCAGCAGCCGCGGUAAUACGGAGGGUGCGAGCGUUAAUCGGAAUUACUGGGCGUAAAGCGCGCGUAGGUGGCUUGAUAAGCCGGUUGUGAAAGCCCCGGGCUCAACCUGGGAACGGCAUCCGGAACUGUCAAGCUAGAGUGCAGGAGAGGAAGGUAGAAUUCCCGGUGUAGCGGUGAAAUGCGUAGAGAUCUGGAGGAAUACCAGUGGCGAAGGCGGCCUUCUGGACUGACACUGACACUGAGGUGCGAAAGCGUGGGUAGCAAACAGGAUUAGAUACCCCAGUAGUC